This 658-nucleotide ribosomal RNA is filed under the name Pleurotus citrinopileatus. RNAcentral's name for it is "LSU rRNA". It matches the Rfam family "Eukaryotic large subunit ribosomal RNA", at positions 37 to 676 of the family's 3401-position model. Lineage: Eukaryota; Fungi; Basidiomycota; Agaricomycetes; Agaricales; Pleurotaceae. The record is from RNAcentral.
UGCAUAUCAAAAAAGCGGAGGAAAAGAAACUAACAAGGAUUCCCCUAGUAACUGCGAGUGAAGCGGGAAAAGCUCAAAUUUAAAAUCUGGUGGUCUUCUGGCCAUCCGAGUUGUAAUCUAGAGAAGUGUUAUCCGUGCUGGACCGUGUACAAGUCCCCUGGAAUGGGGCGUCAUAGAGGGUGAGAAUCCCGUCUUUGACACGGACUACCAGGGCUUUGUGAUGCACUCUCAACGAGUCGAGUUGUUUGGGAAUGCAGCUCAAAAUGGGUGGUAAAUUCCAUCUAAAGCUAAAUAUUGGCGAGAGACCGAUAGCGAACAAGUACCGUGAGGGAAAGAUGAAAAGAACUUUGGAAAGAGAGUUAAACAGUACGUGAAAUUGUUGAAAGGGAAACGCUUGAAGUCAGUCGCGUCGGCCGGGGAUCAACCUUGCUUUUGUGAGGCGUACUUCCUGGUUGACGGGUCAGCAUCAGUUUUGGCUGCUGGACAAAGGUCAGGGAAAUGUGGCACCUUCGGGUGUGUUAUAGUCUCUGAUCAUAUACAGUGGCUGGGACUGAGGAACUCAGCACGCCGAAAGGCCGGGGUUCGCCCACGUUCGUGCUUAGGAUGCUGGCAAAAUGGCUUUAAUCGACCCGUCUUGAAACACGGCCAAAGGGAGUCA